RNAcentral lists this ribosomal RNA (253 nucleotides) under uncultured bacterium. RNAcentral's name for it is "partial 16S ribosomal RNA". It matches the Rfam family "Bacterial small subunit ribosomal RNA", at positions 524 to 776 of the family's 1533-position model. The record is from RNAcentral.
GACAGAGGUGCCAAGCGUUAGGCGGAAUAACUGGGCUUAAAGCGUGUGUAGGUGGAUGUCUAAGUACCUUGUGAAAUCCCAUGGCUCAACCAUGGAACUGCUUGGUAUACUGGAUGUCUUGAGCCACUUAGGGGCUACCGGAACAAAUGGUGGAGCGGUGAAAUGCGUAGAUAUCAUUUGGAACGCCAAUGGCGAAGGCAGCUCGCUGGGACGGUACUGACGCUGAGACGCGAAAGCGUGGGGAGCAAACAGG